CAAUAGCGUAUAUUAACGUUGUUGCAGUUAAAAAGCUCGUAGUUGGAUUUCUGGAGGGAGCGUCGGCCCGUAUUUACGAGUGCGUGACGUCUCUGUCCAUCCUUGCGGGAAGGCACGGCAUUGAUUUGUUGUGUCGGAUCGCAUCAUUUACUGUGAAAAAAUUAGAGUGUUCAAAGCAGGCUUUCGCUUGAAUACAUUAGCAUGGAAUAAUAAGAUAGGACUUUGGAGCUAUUUUGUUGGUUGAGCCUAAAGUAAUGAUUAAUAGGGAUAGUUGGGGGCACCUGUAUUGCGUUGUCAGAGGUGAAAUUCUUGGAUUUACGCAAGACAAACAGCUGCGAANGNGUCUGCNAAGGAUGUUUNCAUUA
This 365-nucleotide ribosomal RNA is filed under the name uncultured eukaryote. RNAcentral describes it as "partial 18S ribosomal RNA". It matches the Rfam family "Eukaryotic small subunit ribosomal RNA", at positions 592 to 975 of the family's 1831-position model. The record is from RNAcentral.